UACGGGGGGGAGCAAGCGUUGUUCGGAUUUACUGGGCGUAAAGGGCGCGUAGGCGGCCCGCUAAGUCGAACGUGAAAUCCCCGAGCUCAACUCGGGAACUGCGUCCGAUACUGGCAGGCUUGAAUCCGGGAGAGGGAUGCGGAAUUCCAGGUGUAGCGGUGAAAUGCGUAGAUAUCUGGAGGAACACCGAUGGCGAAGGCGGGUCUCUGGGCCGAUACUGACGCUGAGGAGCGAAAGCGUGGGGAGCGAACAGG
This 254-nucleotide ribosomal RNA is filed under the name uncultured bacterium. Its description in RNAcentral is "partial 16S ribosomal RNA". It matches the Rfam family "Bacterial small subunit ribosomal RNA", at positions 524 to 776 of the family's 1533-position model. The record is from RNAcentral.